This 633-nucleotide ribosomal RNA is filed under the name uncultured Glomus. RNAcentral's name for it is "SSU rRNA". It matches the Rfam family "Eukaryotic small subunit ribosomal RNA", at positions 404 to 1041 of the family's 1831-position model. The record is from RNAcentral. Lineage: Eukaryota; Fungi; Glomeromycota; Glomeromycetes; Glomerales; Glomeraceae.
CGGCUACCACAUCCAAGGAAGGCAGCAGGCGCGCAAAUUACCCAAUCCCGACACGGGGAGGUAGUGACAAUAAAUAACAAUACAGGGUUCUUUGAAUCUUGUAAUUGGAAUGAGUACAAUUUAAAUCUCUUAACGAGGAACAAUUGGAGGGCAAGUCUGGUGCCAGCAGCCGCGGUAAUUCCAGCUCCAAUAGCGUAUAUUAAAGUUGUUGCAGUUAAAAAGCUCGUAGUUGAAUUUCGGGAUCAAUUCGUCGGUCGUGCUUUCGGGUACGUACUGGUGUUAUUGGUUUCUCCCUUCUGACGAACCAUGAUGUCAUUAAUUUGGUGUUAUGGGAAGUUAGGACUGUUACUUUGAAAAAAUUAGAGUGUUUAAAGCAGGCAUUAGCUUGAAUACAUUAGCAUGGAAUAAUGAAAUAGGACGUNCAAUCCUAUUUUGUUGGUUUCUAGGAUCAACGUAAUGAUUAAUAGGGAUAGUUGGGGGCAUUAGUAUUCAAUUGUCAGAGGUGAAAUUCUUGGAUUUAUUGAAGACUAACUACUGCGAAAGCAUUUGCCAAGGAUGUUUUCAUUAAUCAAGAACGAAAGUUAGGGGAUCGAAGACGAUCAGAUACCGUCGUAGUCUUAACCAUAAACUAUG